RNAcentral lists this long non-coding RNA (762 nucleotides) under Lupinus angustifolius (narrow-leaved blue lupine). Its description in RNAcentral is "long non-coding RNA (LANG_LNC000731)". Lineage: Eukaryota; Viridiplantae; Streptophyta; Magnoliopsida; Fabales; Fabaceae. The record is from RNAcentral.
UUGGGAUAUAGUAGAUAAACCUCUGACAUUCAUGAACCAUAUUUGUUUCAUUGAACUCAUAAAUGAGCAAUCAAAAGAACCAUCUUCAUACGUGUCUAUCAUUCCUUACAUAGACAAUAAAACCAAAAAAACAUACAUUGUACUUACAAAACAUAUGAGAUCUGACAAAAAACCCUUCUAUAUUUUGAUUCUUUAUAGGAAAGAAACACGAAUAGCUGGAUAUAUAUAUAUAUAUAUAUAUAUACUCAUGUGAAAAUAAUAUACUAUUGUGAAAAAAUGAGAACAAUUAAUAUAAACAAUUAGAUAUUAUUUAAAUGACCUAAAUUUAUCGUUCUUAUAGUUUUUAUAUGAAAACUAUUUUCAUUGGAGUCAUGCCUUAUAUAUAUAUCAAAUUACUAAUUAUUUUUCUCUGUAAAAGACUAUAAUUUUGCAUCUUUAAAAAUACAAACAGUAGAUUCUGUUGUAAUCAGAGUUUGCUUUGUAAGUAUAAGAUUUUGAAGCUGCUGUCUCAAUCCAAAAUUCAUUCUCUGUCUAUCUCCUUUGUUCUUUGUUACUUGUUAUUGUUGAUGCGGAAGACAUAUGUAGAAAAUAUAAUAGAGAAAAUGACACCGAGAAAUUAACUUGGUUCAGCAAUUUGCCUACGUCCACGGUUGAAGAGCAACAAUGAUAUUAUCACUAUGAUAAAAGAGAAUUACAAGUUCACUCAAGUGUUUCACUCACUUCCCAAAACCCAAGUACACCCAAUAUCACUCUCACUCACUU